This 73-nucleotide transfer RNA is filed under the name Humisphaera borealis. RNAcentral describes it as "tRNA-Trp". It matches the Rfam family "tRNA". Rfam says of the family: Transfer RNA (tRNA) molecules are approximately 80 nucleotides in length. Their secondary structure includes four short double-helical elements and three loops (D, anti-codon, and T loops). Further hydrogen bonds mediate the characteristic L-shaped molecular structure. tRNAs have two regions of fundamental functional importance: the anti-codon, which is responsible for specific mRNA codon recognition, and the 3' end, to which the tRNAs corresponding amino acid is attached (by aminoacyl-tRNA synthetases). tRNAs cope with the degeneracy of the genetic code in two manners: having more than one tRNA (with a specific anti-codon) for a particular amino acid; and 'wobble' base-pairing, i.e. permitting non-standard base-pairing at the 3rd anti-codon position. Lineage: Bacteria; Pseudomonadati; Planctomycetota; Phycisphaerae; Tepidisphaerales; Tepidisphaeraceae. The record is from RNAcentral.
GCGCCGUCGGUUCCGAUGGUGGGACGCGCGACUCCAAAUCGGGAAGCGGCAGGGUCGAUCCCUGCACGGCGUG